CGCCCUUAUAAGAAGAGGAAGAGAGAGAUCGCUUUCCACUGAAAUGUACCGAGGAAAGGCUAUGUGAGGACAUAGCCCAGAAGAGGCCCUCACCAGAGCCCAGCUAUGCUGGCACCCUGACCUCCUGCUCCAGCCUCCAGACUGUGAGGAAAUACGUUUCCAUGGUUGAAGCCACCCAGUCUAUGGUAUUUUGUUGUGGCUGCCUGAGCUAAGACACCAUCACACAAUGACCAGGGAGGCUCUUUGGCCGUGGUCAGCAGAGGCAGCUGUGCCACUGCCUGUGGGUGCCACGCCUGCCUCACAGCAGCAACUUCCUCAUAAGAAAGUCUCUGCUGUUAUUUAGAUGUGUGUCUUGUCUCCCAGACUCAGAUACAAGCCCAUCAAGGCAGUGAGGUUGACAUCUUUUUUUCUGACUUGUCUGCAAACCCGUCAUGAGGAUUGUUGCACAGUCAUGUUUGGGUAAUGCCACGUACAGUCUUUCCUUCUUAGGCAAUUAUAUUAGCAGUUAAAGGCUCUGAGAAGUUUUGCAAUGAAGAUGCUGUCAUAAGUUUGUCUAAUUCAGCAUUUGACAACAGAACUGAUUUUCCUAGCAACAUUUUGGUCCAGAGAGAAGGUGAUGCAAGAUGCAGAAAUGACUGAGAGUAUGGUGAGCACUUGUUCACUACGCCAGAAAUAAAAGAUCAUUGAAGUGAGAUUGAUUAAAACUACAAUCAAUAAAAGAUCAUUGAAGUGAAAUUGAUUAAAACUACAAAAAAAAAAAAAAA
This 764-nucleotide long non-coding RNA is filed under the name Homo sapiens (human). RNAcentral describes it as "uncharacterized LOC100506937 (LOC100506937)". Lineage: Eukaryota; Metazoa; Chordata; Mammalia; Primates; Hominidae. The record is from RNAcentral.